GACAGCAGCAGCCGCGGUAAUGCGGAGGGGGCUAGCGUUGUUCGGAAUUACUGGGCGUAAGGCGCACGUAGGCGGCUUGGUAAGUUAGAGGUGAAAGUCCGGAGCUCAACUCCGGAAUUGCCUUUAAGACUGCCGAGCUAGUAGGUGAGAGAGGUGAGUGGAAUUCCGAGUGUAGAGGUGAAAUUCGUAGAUAUUCGGAAGAACACCAGUGGCGAAGGCGGCUCACUGGCUCAUUCUAGACGCUGAGGUGCGAAAGCGUGGGGAGCAAACAGGAUUAGAUACCCCCGUAGUCCCUGUCUCUUAUAC
RNAcentral lists this ribosomal RNA (306 nucleotides) under uncultured bacterium. Its description in RNAcentral is "partial 16S ribosomal RNA". It matches the Rfam family "Bacterial small subunit ribosomal RNA", at positions 507 to 807 of the family's 1533-position model. The record is from RNAcentral.